This 540-nucleotide ribosomal RNA is filed under the name uncultured Desulfuromonas sp. Its description in RNAcentral is "bacterial SSU rRNA". It matches the Rfam family "Bacterial small subunit ribosomal RNA", at positions 9 to 523 of the family's 1533-position model. Lineage: Bacteria; Pseudomonadati; Thermodesulfobacteriota; Desulfuromonadia; Desulfuromonadales; Desulfuromonadaceae. The record is from RNAcentral.
GAGUUUGAUCCUGGCUCAGAACGAACGCUGGCGGCGUGCCUAACACAUGCAAGUCGUGCGAGAAAGUUCCCUUCGGGGAGCGAGUAAAGCGGCGCACGGGUGAGUAACACGUAGGUAACCUACCCUGUAGUCGGGAAUAACCCGGGGAAACCCGGGCUAAUACCGGAUGAGACCACGAUUGUUCCGGCAGUCGAGGCCAAAGGCGGCCACUACACGUAAGCUGUCGCUACGGGAUGGGCCUGCGGCCCAUUAGCUAGUUGGUGGGGUAAUGGCCUACCAAGGCUGUGAUGGGUAGCUGGUCUGAGAGGAUGAUCAGCCACACUGGGACUGAGACACGGCCCAGACUCCUACGGGAGGCAGCAGUGGGGAAUAUUGCGCAAUGGGGGAAACCCUGACGCAGCGACGCCGCGUGGGUGAUGAAGGCCUUCGGGUCGUAAAGCCCUGUCGUAGGGGAAGAACCGGUGGACGGAUAAUACCCGUCUGCCCUGACGGUACCCUACAAGAAAGCACCGGCUAACUCCGUGCCAGCAGCCGCGGUAA